ACGCUCGACACCUACGGGAGACAGCAGUGGGGGAUAUUGCACAAUGGAGGAAACUCUGAUGCAGCGACGCCGCGUGAGGGAAGACGGUUUUCGGAUUGUAAACCUCUGUCUUCAGGGACGAAAUGAAUGACGGUACCUGAGGAGGAAGCUCCGGCUAACUACGUGCCACAGCCGCGGUAAUCUGAGCGGGCUGGCAAGGC
RNAcentral lists this ribosomal RNA (200 nucleotides) under uncultured bacterium. RNAcentral describes it as "partial 16S ribosomal RNA". It matches the Rfam family "Bacterial small subunit ribosomal RNA", at positions 328 to 539 of the family's 1533-position model. The record is from RNAcentral.